Pelobates cultripes (western spadefoot toad) is the source of this 213-nucleotide non-coding RNA. NCBI's taxonomy places the organism in Eukaryota, Metazoa, Chordata, Amphibia, Anura, Pelobatidae. The record is from the annotation of a GenBank genome assembly.
GCACCAUCUUAACUUCUGGCUUAAACUAUUGUAGCAGUGGUUUAACACUUCAGUUGAAGAUCUGAUUUCCCACACUGCUUAUCCCUAGUUUCCUUUCUCUCUGUCACCACUUUGAUAGGAAGGUUUAGCCAUUGGAUGCUGAUAGACUGAGAACUUAAGUAUUAAACAGUUAAGAUGGCCGUGUCCAGAGAAGGUAAGAUGGCCGUGUCAGUG